GACAGAGGGGCAAGCGUUGCUCGGAAUUACUGGGCGUAAAGGGCGCGUAGGCGGGAUGGCAAGUCGGUCGUGAAAUCCCUCGGCUCAACUGAGGAUCGUCGAUCGAUACUGCCGUUCUUGAGGAUUGCAGAGGAGACUGGAAUUCCCGGUGUAGCGGUGAAAUGUGUAGAUAUCUGGAGGAACACCGGUGGCGAAGGCGGCAUCCUGGACCAACACUGACGCUGAGGAGCGAAAGCCAGGGGAGCAAACGGG
RNAcentral lists this ribosomal RNA (252 nucleotides) under uncultured bacterium. Its description in RNAcentral is "partial 16S ribosomal RNA". It matches the Rfam family "Bacterial small subunit ribosomal RNA", at positions 524 to 776 of the family's 1533-position model. The record is from RNAcentral.